Molecule: RNA transcript, 2101 nt
Organism: Ceratina calcarata
Lineage: Eukaryota; Metazoa; Arthropoda; Insecta; Hymenoptera; Apidae
Gene: CCT5
Gene name: chaperonin containing TCP1 subunit 5
Exons: 8
Source: RefSeq, a predicted model, not a curated record
UUCAGACGGUUCAGACCAACAAAAUGGUCGCCGAGGUCUGACGACGAGGGAACGUGAGUGUACAAAAUCUAGAAUUGUUUUAAACGGAAUUGUCCUACUAACGUUUAUCAAACGAGCAAAAUGACCACGUUACCUGGUACCGUGGCCUUCGACGAAUAUGGUCGGACCUUCAUUAUCCUUCGUGAUCAAGAGAAGCAAAAGCGUCUAACCGGCACCGAUGCCAUCAAGUCACAUAUUAUGGCAGGACGUAAUGUUGCAAAUAUCUUGCGAACCUCGUUGGGUCCUAAGGGCCUUGACAAGCUGAUGGUCAGUUCCGACGGUGAUGUCACUGUCACGAACGAUGGAGCAACAAUCCUGAAAAACAUGGACGUGGACCAUGAAAUUGCUAAAUUAAUGGUCCAGUUAUCUCAAUCUCAGGACGAUGAAAUUGGAGACGGUACUACUGGAGUAGUCGUUUUAGCUGGAGCUCUCUUGGAUCAAGCAGAGCAACUGUUAGAUAAGGGAAUUCAUCCAAUUAGAAUAGCAGAUGGUUUUGAAAUGGCAGCAGAGUGUGCGACGGAUCAUUUAAAAAAGAUUGUGUAUGACUUCGAAGGCACUCCAGACAACUUGGAGCCUUACAUCAAAAUUGCUAUGACCAGUCUUGGCUCGAAAAUUAUCAACAAGUGUCAUAGGCAAAUGGCGGAAAUAGCUGUGAACGCUGUGUUCGCAGUUCUGGAUCCUGCUACACGUGAUGUUAACUUUGAACUGAUAAAAGUAGAAGGAAAAGUUGGAGGCAGGCUAGAAGACACUAUUCUAGUGCGCGGCGUCGUUAUUGACAAAGAUUUCAGCCAUCCUCAAAUGCCCAAGAGAUUAGAAGAUGUUAAGUUAGCUAUUUUAACGUGUCCGUUCGAACCACCGAAACCUAAGACCAAACAUAAGUUGGAUGUCACUUCGGUCGACGAUUAUAGAGCGUUGCGCGAUUACGAACGGGAGAAGUUCACCGAAAUGGUAAAGAGAGUGAAAGACGCUGGUGCGACUCUUGCUAUUUGUCAAUGGGGAUUCGACGAUGAAGCCAAUCACCUCCUCCUUCAAAAUCAACUACCAGCAGUAAGAUGGGUCGGUGGCCCGGAGAUCGAGUUAAUAGCUAUCGCCACUGGUGGUCGUAUCGUUCCUCGGUUCGAAGAACUGACGCCAGAAAAACUAGGUCACGCGGGUGUCGUCAGAGAACUUACGUUCGGCACUACUAAGGAUCGGAUGCUAGUCAUCGAAGAAUGCAAGAACUCUCGAGCAGUUACCAUCUUCAUCCGUGGUGGAAACAAAAUGAUCAUCGAGGAAGCGAAACGCGCUAUUCACGACGCGCUGUGCACAGUUCGUAACGUGAUCAAAAACCAGAAAAUCGUGUACGGCGGAGGAGCGGCCGAGAUCUCUUGCGCUCUUGCAUGCGCGGCCAAGGCGAACAAGAUCAGCACCCUGGAACAGUACGCCUUCCGCGCAUUCUCCGAAGCGCUGGAAGCUGUGCCCAUGGCGCUUGCUGAGAACUCCGGCCUGUCGCCCGUUGAUUCACUGGCUGAAAUCAAGGCACGCCAGAUAGCCGAGAAUAAUCCUACUCUCGGCGUCGACUGCUUAAAUCGCGGCACUUGUGACAUGCAAGUGCAGAACGUGAUCGAGACGCUGACGAGUAAGGUACAACAAAUCAUGUUGGCUACUCAACUGGUCAAAAUGAUACUAAAGAUCGAUGACAUACGUUCACCGAACGACGCGGCCUGAAUAUAUCGCAUAAUGCCUUUCUUUAUUUUCAUUUCACCUUGUUCGCUUGUUCGAGCUUCAUUCACAAUUCUAAUUGAUGGAAUUCUUACGUUCAAUUAAUAUUUUCUCGUUCGUACGACGAUGAUAAUUUAUACGUAACAUGGAACAAAUAAAUUUGUCACAUCGAGUCAAGGUGUGAUGGGUGUAAACAAACGUUCUUUCUGUACAUUACGAAUCGUGGGAAUUCGGUUUCAAAAAGAAAUAAUGCUUUUUAUGGAACGUAUAUCCGUGAAGCGUACGUAAAUGCAGAUCGAUCGACGUAGGUAAUAGAAUUUUGUUACAUUCUAUUAAUAAAAUGGCACAAAAUAUAAUACAA